This 966-nucleotide ribosomal RNA is filed under the name uncultured bacterium. RNAcentral's name for it is "bacterial SSU rRNA". It matches the Rfam family "Bacterial small subunit ribosomal RNA", at positions 410 to 1395 of the family's 1533-position model. The record is from RNAcentral.
GAAGGCCUUCGGGUUGUAAAGAUCUUUAAUCAGGGACGAAACAAAUGAACGGUACCUGAAGAAUAAGCUCCGGCUAACUACGUGCCAGCAGCCGCGGUAAUACGUAGGGGGCGAGCGUUAUCCGGAUUCAUUGGGCGUAAAGCGCGCGUAGGCGGCCCGGCAGGCCGGGGGUCGAAGCGGGGGGCUCAACCCCCCGAAGCCCCCGGAACCUCUGCGGCUUGGGUCCGGUAGGGGAGGGUGGAACACCCGGUGUAGCGGUGGAAUGCGCAGAUAUCGGGUGGAACACCGGUGGCGAAGGCGGCCCUCUGGGCCGAGACCGACGCUGAGGCGCGAAAGCUGGGGGAGCGAACAGGAUUAGAUACCCUGGUAGUCCCAGCCGUAAACGAUGGACGCUAGGUGUGGGGGGACGAUCCCCCCGUGCCGCAGCCAACGCAUUAAGCGUCCCGCCUGGGGAGUACGGCCGCAAGGCUAAAACUCAAAGGAAUUGACGGGGGCCCGCACAAGCAGCGGAGCAUGUGGCUUAAUUCGAAGCAACGCGAAGAACCUUACCAGGGCUUGACAUAUGGGUGAAGCGGGGGAGACCCCGUGGCCGAGAGGAGCCCAUACAGGUGGUGCAUGGCUGUCGUCAGCUCGUGUCGUGAGAUGUUGGGUUAAGUCCCGCAACGAGCGCAACCCCCGCCGCGUGUUGCCAUCGGGUGAUGCCGGGAACCCACGCGGGACCGCCGCCGUCAAGGCGGAGGAGGGCGGGGACGACGUCAAGUCAUCAUGCCCCUUAUGCCCUGGGCUGCACACGUGCUACAAUGGCCGGUACAGAGGGAUGCCACCCCGCGAGGGGGAGCGGAUCCCGGAAAGCCGGCCCCAGUUCGGAUUGGGGGCUGCAACCCGCCCCCAUGAAGUCGGAGUUGCUAGUAAUCGCGGAUCAGCAUGCCGCGGUGAAUGCGUUCCCGGGCCUUGCACACACCGCCC